UCUCUUGAGGUCCAGUGGCUAAGACUCUGCACUUCCAAUGCAGAGGGCAAGGGUUUGAUCCCUGAUUGGAGAA
RNAcentral lists this transfer RNA (73 nucleotides) under Bos taurus (domestic cattle). It matches the Rfam family "tRNA". From Rfam's summary of the family: Transfer RNA (tRNA) molecules are approximately 80 nucleotides in length. Their secondary structure includes four short double-helical elements and three loops (D, anti-codon, and T loops). Lineage: Eukaryota; Metazoa; Chordata; Mammalia; Artiodactyla; Bovidae. RNAcentral also lists the same sequence under 2 other names. The record is from Rfam by way of RNAcentral.